Molecule: long non-coding RNA, 970 nt
Organism: Loxodonta africana (African savanna elephant)
Lineage: Eukaryota; Metazoa; Chordata; Mammalia; Proboscidea; Elephantidae
Exons: 2
Source: RefSeq, a predicted model, not a curated record
GCAGCUGCAGCCAGCCUGAGGGGCCGGCCAUACUGGAUUUAACUCGACCUAAUCUCCGCCCAGCCCAGAGCUUGAAGCUCUGCAUGCCUGGAAAGCUGGUUGUGGCCAGCACUGAGCUUUGGGCUCCCUCCACCAAGGUUCUCAGAGUGACCAUGUGUCCCCUACAGUUCCCUCCCCACCCAAACACUGGUCUUCAAGGCCUGGUGGGCACUUCUCUUGUCUGAGGCCAGACAGCUCCCUCUUGUCCAGCUUUGGCCCUGAGGACCUACUCAAUUGGCUACCAAGGGGACAUCAGGCCAGCAUCCCUCUGCUGAUGGGACACUCACUACCACCUCUGCCUGAGUGGACCACAUCCAUCCUGGCUCUGUGCCCAGCCACCUGGAGCAGGUGAUGGAGACCUGGGUCUGUCCUCCAGGUUGUUGUUGUUAUUGUUAGGUGCUGUCGAGUCAGUUCCGACUCAUAGCGACCCUGUACAACAGAACAAAACACUGCCUGGUCCUGCGCCAUUCUCACAAUCGUUGUCAUGCUUAAGCCCACUGUUGCAGCCACUGUGUCAAUCCAUCUCGUUGAGGAUCUUCGUCUUUUUUGCUGACGCUCUACUUUACCAAGCAUGACGUCCUUCUCCAGGCACUGGUCCCUCCUGAUAACAUGUCCAAAGUACGUGAGAUGAAGUCUCGCCAUCUUUGCUUCUAAGGAACAUUCUGGCUGUCCUUCCAAGACAGCUCGAGUCAGCCGAGGGGAGUCUGUCCCACUUGGGAUGAAGGUCGCUUUUUCUGAGAAGCCCAGGAAGAAACUCUUUGCCCGACGGUGGUGGUGGUGGAUAGGGGGAGGUGGCACUCCCAGCCCAAGCCAAAUACAACGCUGAGCAGGAAGAGUACAGAAGGUAAGGGGUUGAAAAAGGAGAAAUGUCCUGAGCAUGCAAAUGUGGGCCGUGGGGCGAAACUAAGGCAGGAAAGAGAGAGGCAGAAAG